This is a transfer RNA of Aspergillus cristatus, 94 nucleotides long. It matches the Rfam family "tRNA". From Rfam's summary of the family: Transfer RNA (tRNA) molecules are approximately 80 nucleotides in length. NCBI's taxonomy places the organism in Eukaryota, Fungi, Ascomycota, Eurotiomycetes, Eurotiales, Aspergillaceae. The record is from Rfam.
GGGGUGGUGGCGUAGUUGGGAGCGCGUUAGACUGAAGAGUUUAACUUCAGCCAAGUAUAUCUAAAGGUCGUUGGUUCGAAUCCGACCCAUCCCA